Long non-coding RNA from Gasterosteus aculeatus aculeatus (three-spined stickleback), 685 nucleotides. NCBI's taxonomy places the organism in Eukaryota, Metazoa, Chordata, Actinopteri, Perciformes, Gasterosteidae. The record is from Ensembl.
AUCCAUUUAAUGAACCAUAAAACACUCUUCUUUGGCCUUAGGUCAAACAACAACUCUUCCACACGAAGGUUUGUCCCCAUCUUCUCCUUUCUUACUGUUUUUACGAGAGAAACUUUAUGAAAAGACGUAAUAAGAUGCAGCCUGUGAUUGGAAGCAUUUUUAAAAAUUUCCUGGCAGAAACUAAACACUCGAGCACAGCUGAUUGGUUGUUGUUUGGCCAGUGAGGUAAACAUUCCCACCAGCGCAGCAGCUUUUACAUUUCCAUGUUUCAGGACUGAAACACCACGGUGUUGGGUCUGAGUCAGAGGGUUACAAAUCAAAACCGAACGUUGUUGGGGGAGAAUUUGUUGCGCUGCAAAUUGUUAAUGUCUCCAAACGUGUUGGAAGAAGAUGCCACAGCUAGAUGGACCUUGUUGAAUUGUUCUUUAAUGUACUGUGGUGCUCUGGUGAUAAGUAAUAAGUUGAUGUACUUGACCGAAAAUGUAGUUGUGUUUGUGAUUUUUAAAGCUGAAAUAGGGUAUUUUCAGGUUGUCAGCUUGUAUGGGGUUGUAGAUCAUAAUGUUGAUUUCAGUUUGCUGUCUUUGCAGAUCAUGUUGAUCAAAACAUUCCUGUCAUCCAGCACCAACCAAGAUCUUUGCCACUGUGAUAAGAUGUGAGCUUUACAUGUUUUAAGUUUACUUUUGAU